CCAUUUUUCCCCAUUUUUCCCAUUUCCCCCCAUUUUUUCCCCAUUUCCUCCCCGUUUCCCCCCUCCCUGCCCGUUUUCACCAAUUUCCCCGUUUUUCUCCCCAUUUUUCCCCAUUUUUCCCCAUUUCCCGUUUUUUCUCCCCGUUUUCCUCCCCGUUUCCCCCCUCCCUGCUGGUUUUUCCCAAAUUCCCGUUUUUUCCCCCCGUUUUCCCCCAUUUCCCGUUUUUCCCCCCAUUUUUCCCCAAUUCCCUUUUUUUCCCGCCCGUUUCCUCCCGUUUCCCAUUUUUCCCCCCGUUUUUCCCCAAUUCCCAUUUUUUCUCCCCGUUUCCCCCCGUUUUUCCCCAUUUCCCAUUUUUCCUCCCCCGUUUUUCCCAAAUUCCCAUUUUCCCCAAUUCCCAUUUUUCCCAAAUUCCCGUGUUUUUGCCCCGUUCCAGGCGCAGGACGAGUGGCGCUCCCUGGCCAUGGCGCUGGACCGGCUCUGCCUGUGGGCGCUGCUGGCGCUGACGGGCGGCUGCGCCCUGGCCACGGGGCUGGACGCGGCGCUGCACCGGCCCCCCGACACCCCCUUCCCCUGACAGCACCCAAAACUGCCCCAAUUCACCCCAAAAAUAGCCCCAAAAUAGCCCCAAAAUAUCCCCAAAGUAUCCUGAAAAUAUCCCGAAAAUAUCACCAAAAUAUCCCAAAAUAUUCGGAAUUUAUCUCAGAAAUAUUCUGAAUUUAGCCCAAAAUGACACCCAAAAAUAUCCCCAAAAUAUCCCAAAAAUAUCCCCAAAAUAUCCCCAAAAUUAUCCCCAAAAUAUCCCAAAAUAUUCAGAAUUUAUCUCAGAAAUAUUCUGAAUUUAGCCCAAAAUGAUACCCAAAAAUAUCCCCAAAAUAGCCCCAAAAUAUCCCGAAAUUAUCCCCAAAAUAUCCCCAAAAUAUCACCAAAAUAUCCCAAAAUAUUCGGAAUUUAUCUCAGAAAUAUUCUGAAUUUAGCCCAAAAUUAUGCCCAAAAAUAUCCCCAAAGUAUCCCCAAAAAACCCCCCAAAAAAUCUCCAAACAAAAUCUCCAAAAUUACCCCCAAAAUUUCUAAAAAAAAACCCCAAAAAUCCCCAAAAAAUUCCCCCAAAAAUUCCCCCAAAUUUUCCAAAAUUAUCCCAAAAUAUCCCCCAAAAAUCCCCAAAAAUUUCCCAAAAAUCCCCAAAAAAAUCCCCCCCAAAAAAUCCUCAAAAAAUCCACCAAAAAAUCUCCAAAAUCUCCCAAAAUAUCCCCAAAAAAUUCCCCAAAAAAAUCCCCAAAAAUUUCCCAAAAAUCUUCCCAAAAACCCCCAAAAAUCCCCAAAAAAUUCCCAAAAAAAUUCCAUAAAAUCCGCCCCCCCCCAAAAAAAAAAAUCUCCCAAAAUAUCCCAAAAAAAUUCCCCAAAAACAUCCCCAAAAACUUCCCAAAAAUCUUCCAAAAAUCCCCCAAAAAUCCCCAAAAAACCCCCUAAAAUUUCCCCAAAAUUCCCCAGAAAAAUCCCCCCCUAAAAAAUAAAAAAAAUCCCCAAAAAAUUCCCCA
RNAcentral lists this long non-coding RNA (1535 nucleotides) under Lonchura striata (white-rumped munia). Its description in RNAcentral is "domestica (Bengalese finch) lncRNA (ENSLSDG00000012935.1)". Lineage: Eukaryota; Metazoa; Chordata; Aves; Passeriformes; Estrildidae. The record is from RNAcentral.